RNAcentral lists this ribosomal RNA (216 nucleotides) under Glomeromycotina sp. RNAcentral's name for it is "partial small subunit ribosomal RNA". The stretch from base 40 to 216 matches the Rfam family "Eukaryotic small subunit ribosomal RNA", at positions 686 to 864 of the family's 1831-position model. Lineage: Eukaryota; Fungi; Glomeromycota. The record is from RNAcentral.
GGGUCAGUAGGUUGGUCGUGCCACCGGUACGUACUGAUCUCACUAAUUCCUCCUUCCUGAAGAACCGUAAUGCCAUUAAUUUGGUGUUGCGGGGAAACAGGACUGUUACUUUGAAAAAAUUAGAGUGUUUAAAGCAAGCUAACGCUUGAAUACAUUAGCAUGGAAUAAUGAAAUAGGACGAUCGAUCCUAUUUUGUUGGUUUCUAGGAUUGACGUA